GCCCCGCUAGCUCAGUCGGUAGAGCGUUGGACUUUUAAUCCAACGGUCGUGGGUUCGAGCCCCACGUGGGGCG
Molecule: transfer RNA, 73 nt
Organism: Naegleria gruberi
Lineage: Eukaryota; Heterolobosea; Eutetramitea; Acrasida; Naegleriidae
Rfam family: tRNA
About the family: Transfer RNA (tRNA) molecules are approximately 80 nucleotides in length. Their secondary structure includes four short double-helical elements and three loops (D, anti-codon, and T loops).
Source: Rfam